UGGUUUUCCCGAUGGCACAUG
RNAcentral lists this non-coding RNA (21 nucleotides) under Caenorhabditis elegans. The record is from RNAcentral. Lineage: Eukaryota; Metazoa; Nematoda; Chromadorea; Rhabditida; Rhabditidae.